UUCACGAUUUUUCUUCUUCAUUUCUCAAAAUCUCACACUACUCUUCCUUCUCUUCUCCAAACAGUCGUUGUUGCCACCACCACAACGUCUGUCGUACUCAGCUCGUGCCCAACCCUCGCCACUAUCCUCAUAUUUUUCACGAUCUUCUCGUCACCACUAAGUCGAAACCCUUGUCUCUUUCACGCUCGACUCUUCCCCAACGUCAGAACCCUCAUCUCUUUCAUGUUGUGCUCGCCACCACCAUUGAAAACCUUCAUCCACGUUCUUGCCCAACUUUCACCACCAUCGUGCACAGUCUGUUCGUGCCCAACUCUCACCACCAUCAUCAGAAAUAUUUUUCUCUCCGGUGAAGUGUGUCAGUGAGAUACCCAGAUUCGAUAAGAUACCCAGAUUCGAUGAGAUACCCAUAUUCGAUGAGAUACCCAUUUGGAAGAAGUUGCUUAAGAGAUUCUUAGAUAAGCCUAAGGAGAGGUUGCCCUUGCUCUCAAAGUUCCAAAAAAUUCCAUCACACCUUCCUUGAGAUGGAUAGCUCACGAACCUUCUCCAGAUGUGGCCACUUAUUCUGGUUACAUGAUCAAUGGUUAUUACUAUCACACAAAAAGGCAUGAUGAUAUUAGGAGAGUUCAAAAUAGUGAAGUUAGUUUAAUAUUCACUACAAUGCAAGUGUCUAGUUCUAAAGACAAAAACCCUGUCAUGUCAGAUAUGACAUUUUAUGGCAUAAUACAAGAGACAUGGGAGAUUGAUUACCAUUGAUUAUAUUUUGUUUUAUUUAAGUGUGAUUGAGUUAAUAGUAGAAAUGGGGUCAAAGUGGACGAACUUGGGUUUACCAUUGUGGAUUUGAAAACAUAUUGGGCAUAAAUCAGACCCAUUUAUUUUAGCCUCCUAA
Molecule: long non-coding RNA, 886 nt
Organism: Cucumis sativus (cucumber)
Lineage: Eukaryota; Viridiplantae; Streptophyta; Magnoliopsida; Cucurbitales; Cucurbitaceae
Exons: 3
Source: RefSeq, a predicted model, not a curated record